CUGAGAUUUCUCGACCCCUCUAAGAAAUAGGAGUCAAAUCUCCAUCAUAUCAAAAAACCCACGGCGUCUUUAACAGUACUGGCUAUGGUCUCUAUGACAACGGCGACGAUGACGCAAGCGAGAAAAUUAACGACGAUUGAAGAUUUUUCUUUGUGCACAAAAAGUGUACUUGUUAAAAGGACAAAAGACGAUGGUGACUGAUGACUGACUGCUGACUGGAGACUGGAGAAUACUAUACAGCGAAUGGCUAGAAAAUAUUUUAGUAGGUUAUCGAAAAGAAAAUAAGUGAGGCCUUAUUCUAAGACGCUGGUAGUGGGAGGCAAGUCGUCAAAGGAUGUGACAGCACUGUUUGGGUUUAGUAUACCACUCACUCACUUGGAAUUGACUGAGAGUGGCAGAUGGAUAAUAAGGUGGUGAAUUGACGGAACAUCAGAGAGAGCAUCAUUGGCACAUCAGACAGAAAAUGAAGUACAUUCCAGACGUAUUCAAUUUUUUUUUUUUCGGGUGAGACAUCUAUUUAUUUCAAAGAAGUACAAAACUCUAAUCUUUUUCAAUGUAGUGAAAGUGUCCAAGACUCUUGUGUUCAAAAUGACUACUCUUGAGGUUCUCCUCUCGCUUGGGGUACAACCAAAAGUCACGGGGAUCUGAGCUGUAAGAAAGGUUAAGGACCGGUUUGAUGACCAAUUCUCUCAAAUAGUUAAUUAGUUAGCAGGACAAAUUUUGCGCAUGACCAGAUUUUCAUGAAUAAUUUUGAGUACAGUUGCCACACCAGCUACGAACUGUACGAUUAUUGUCUUUAUAGACACGCGACGGUCUUCGUCCAGAAAAUUACGAAUUUUCUCAAGCAGCUCUUAUGUCCUGAGACCCCUCUCUUUUCCACACCUGUUAUUGUUUCUCACCUCCUGUCAACCGUCCUUGAGCCUGAUGUGCUAACGAAAAACAAUUAAUUCAUAAGCAGUCUGAAGCACUUCCUAUGUUUUUGUAGCGUUUUACCCAGUUUAACAUAAAAAUUUAUUGCAU
Long non-coding RNA from Octopus sinensis (East Asian common octopus), 1020 nucleotides. RefSeq lists it as uncharacterized. The record is from RefSeq and is a predicted model, not a curated record. The transcript has 2 exons. NCBI's taxonomy places the organism in Eukaryota, Metazoa, Mollusca, Cephalopoda, Octopoda, Octopodidae.